This 345-nucleotide long non-coding RNA is filed under the name Homo sapiens (human). RNAcentral describes it as "HSALNT0230800". The record is from RNAcentral. Lineage: Eukaryota; Metazoa; Chordata; Mammalia; Primates; Hominidae.
ACCAGAAUUCCAGCUCCGCCCUCUGUGCGGCCUCAAGGGAGUUAUGAACUUCUGAGCCUUAGACAUGCUUCCUGAGCUGCCACCAAGCUGCCUCAUGGGGCUGUCCUAAGGAUUAAUGUAUUAAUCCAAUCCCAGGCACAUCAGUCAUUAAUAAAAUUAAGAAUACGGUGACAACUAAGCCCACUACCUUUGGAAGUAACUCCUUACUAACUACAUUAAACCCAAACUCGAGGCUCUGGAAAAGAGAAUGCCAGCUGGGAGACAAAACGGCAGAAAGGAAGGUUUCUCCAGGCUCUGGCCAGACAAAAUCCUUCUCUGCAGAGGAUGCUGCUCCAGGGUCCCAAC